GCAGCAGAAAAAUUUGUCCCGCUAUUGUCUGCAUUAGAGAGAUUUUACUGCAUUAAACCAUCUCUUGUUUGAAGUUUGAUCCAGUUUGCAGUUGGCCCAAGAUUUUUGAAAAAAGUAUUUCAUCGGAACUUUGUCUGAGGGCAUUGUUUUGGAUAAAUCUGCGAAUCAAAGGAUCCAAAUGGAAAAAAGAUCUGGAAAAAGUGAUUCAGCCAAGUUUUUAAAUUUCUUUUGAAUAAAUAUUUGUAAUUAUGUUGUUAUAUAGCUUG
Uloborus diversus is the source of this 266-nucleotide long non-coding RNA. RefSeq lists it as uncharacterized. The transcript is spliced from 3 exons. Lineage: Eukaryota; Metazoa; Arthropoda; Arachnida; Araneae; Uloboridae. The record is from RefSeq and is a predicted model, not a curated record.